RNAcentral lists this ribosomal RNA (443 nucleotides) under uncultured bacterium. RNAcentral's name for it is "partial 16S ribosomal RNA". It matches the Rfam family "Bacterial small subunit ribosomal RNA", at positions 338 to 795 of the family's 1533-position model. The record is from RNAcentral.
CCUACGGGUGGCUGCAGUGGGGGAUAUUGGACAAUGGGGGAAACCCUGAUCCAGCGACGCCGCGUGAGUGAAGAAGUAUUUCGGUAUGUAAAGCUCUAUCAGCAGGGAAGAAAGAAAUGACGGUACCUGAGUAAGAAGCCGCGGCUAACUACGUACCAGCAGCCGCGGUAACACGUAGGGGGCACGCGGUAUCCGGAAUUACAGGGUGUAAAGGGAGCGUAGAGGGUAGUGCAAGUCUGGAGUGAAAGGCGGGGGCCCAACCCCGGGACUGCUCUGGAAACUGUGGAGCUGGAGUGCUGGAGAGGGAGGCGGAAUUCCUAGUGUAGCGGUGAAAUGCGUAGAUAUUAGGAGGAACACCAGUGGCGAAGGCGGCCUGCUGGACUGUAACUGACGUUGAGGCUCGAAAGCGUGGGGAGCAAACAGGAUUAGAUACCCCUGUAGUC